GGGUCCAGGCUCGGACUCAAUUCCAUCUGGAAUCCUGACCGGGUACGUCUAGGGCCUGGGCCUGACUUCGAAACCGCAUUAAGCCUGAGGUUCUGACCACCAGGAUGAGACCUGCUGGGACAUCCCACUCACUCCAAAGUCUGCAGGCAGGAUGCUUGGAAGACUGGCAGAAGCUAGCAGAAGAGUAAGGAUUCUUAACCAGUCAGCUCUCCCAGAUCUAUCUGUGGUGCCUGAUCAAGAAAGGAAGAAAAAAAGCUCCGAUAGUAGACUAAUUCAGAAUGGGUCGCCUGAAAACAUUUUUAAACUCCAGUUGGUGAGAAGUGGCCUUUCCUGAUGAUCAUCUGAAUGUCAUGAUACUGAGCUACAGAUGCCAUGAUUCUUCCUGAGCAAGACCAUUAAACACAGCACUGGUGACCUCUCGUGCAGCAUUGUGUGUAA
Molecule: long non-coding RNA, 438 nt
Organism: Suricata suricatta (meerkat)
Lineage: Eukaryota; Metazoa; Chordata; Mammalia; Carnivora; Herpestidae
Exons: 3
Source: RefSeq, a predicted model, not a curated record